RNAcentral lists this unclassified non-coding RNA (346 nucleotides) under soil metagenome. RNAcentral describes it as "partial contains 5.8S ribosomal RNA, internal transcribed spacer 2, and large subunit ribosomal RNA". The stretch from base 2 to 121 matches the Rfam family "5.8S ribosomal RNA", at positions 35 to 154 of the family's 154-position model. The record is from RNAcentral.
GGAUGAAGAACGUAGCGAAAUGCGAUAAGUAAUGUGAAUUGCAGAAUUCCGUGAAUCAUCGAGUCUUUGAACGCACAUUGCGCCCCCUGGUAUUCCGGGGGGCAUGCCUGUCCGAGCGUCAUUGCUGCCCUCAAGCACGGCUUGUGUGUUGGGCCUCCGUCCUCCUCCCGGGGGACGGGCCCGAAAGGCAGCGGCGGCACCGCGUCCGGUCCUCGAGCGUAUGGGGCUUCGUCACCCGCUCUUGUAGGCCCGGCCGGCGCUUGCCGACACAUCAAUCUUUUUUCCAGGUUGACCUCGGAUCAGGUAGGGAUACCCGCUGAACUUAAGCAUAUCAAUAAGCGGAGGA